GCGGUAGUUCAGUUGGUUAGAAUACCGGCCUGUCACGCCGGGGGUCGCGGGUUCGAGCCCCGUCCGCUGCG
Molecule: transfer RNA, 71 nt
Filed under: Friedmanniomyces endolithicus
Lineage: Eukaryota; Fungi; Ascomycota; Dothideomycetes; Mycosphaerellales; Teratosphaeriaceae
Description: tRNA-Asp
Rfam family: tRNA
About the family: Transfer RNA (tRNA) molecules are approximately 80 nucleotides in length.
Source: RNAcentral